This 57-nucleotide small RNA is filed under the name Salix viminalis (osier). Lineage: Eukaryota; Viridiplantae; Streptophyta; Magnoliopsida; Malpighiales; Salicaceae. The record is from RNAcentral.
UGAAAGAAGAAAAAUUCACUUGAAUUCCCAUUGAGUUCCUAACUGUUGUGUUUUUCA